RNAcentral lists this ribosomal RNA (441 nucleotides) under uncultured Pseudoduganella sp. RNAcentral describes it as "bacterial SSU rRNA". It matches the Rfam family "Bacterial small subunit ribosomal RNA", at positions 349 to 782 of the family's 1533-position model. The record is from RNAcentral. Lineage: Bacteria; Pseudomonadati; Pseudomonadota; Betaproteobacteria; Burkholderiales; Oxalobacteraceae.
CAGCAGUGGGGAAUUUUGGACAAUGGGGGCAACCCUGAUCCAGCAAUGCCGCGUGAGUGAAGAAGGCCUUCGGGUUGUAAAGCUCUUUUGUCAGGGAAGAAAAGGCUGUGGCUAAUAUCCACAGCUGCUGACGGUACCUGAAGAAUAAGCACCGGCUAACUACGUGCCAGCAGCCGCGGUAAUACGUAGGGUGCAAGCGUUAAUCGGAAUUACUGGGCGUAAAGCGUGCGCAGGCGGUUUCGUAAGUCUGUCGUGAAAUCCCCGGGCUUAACCUGGGAAUGGCGAUGGAGACUGCGAGGCUAGAGUUUGGCAGAGGGGGGUAGAAUUCCACGUGUAGCAGUGAAAUGCGUAGAGAUGUGGAGGAACACCGAUGGCGAAGGCAGCCCCCUGGGUCAAAACUGACGCUCAUGCACGAAAGCGUGGGGAGCAAACAGGAUUAGA